Molecule: transfer RNA, 72 nt
Filed under: Leiodon cutcutia (ocellated pufferfish)
Lineage: Eukaryota; Metazoa; Chordata; Actinopteri; Tetraodontiformes; Tetraodontidae
Description: tRNA-Thr
Rfam family: tRNA
About the family: Transfer RNA (tRNA) molecules are approximately 80 nucleotides in length. Their secondary structure includes four short double-helical elements and three loops (D, anti-codon, and T loops).
Source: RNAcentral
GCAUUAGUAGCUCAGCAUAAGAGCGCCGGCCUUGUAAGCCGGACGCCGGGGGUGAAAAUCCCCCCUACUGCU